UCCCAGGUGGCUCAGUAGGAAAGAAUCUGUCUGCAAUGCAGGAAACCCAGGUUUAAUUUCUGGGUUGGGAA
RNAcentral lists this transfer RNA (71 nucleotides) under Bos taurus (domestic cattle). It matches the Rfam family "tRNA". From Rfam's summary of the family: Transfer RNA (tRNA) molecules are approximately 80 nucleotides in length. Their secondary structure includes four short double-helical elements and three loops (D, anti-codon, and T loops). RNAcentral also lists the same sequence under 1 other name. Lineage: Eukaryota; Metazoa; Chordata; Mammalia; Artiodactyla; Bovidae. The record is from Rfam by way of RNAcentral.